This 90-nucleotide microRNA precursor is filed under the name Mustela putorius furo (domestic ferret). RNAcentral's name for it is "microRNA 92a-2 (ENSMPUG00000023036.1)". The stretch from base 5 to 84 matches the Rfam family "mir-92 microRNA precursor family". Rfam says of the family: This family represents the microRNA precursor mir-92. Human miR-92 has two predicted hairpin precursor sequences: mir-92-1 on chromosome 13 and mir-92-2 on chromosome X. miR-92 has also been cloned from mouse embryonic stem cells. The record is from RNAcentral. Lineage: Eukaryota; Metazoa; Chordata; Mammalia; Carnivora; Mustelidae.
GCCCAUUCAUCCGCGGGUGGGGAUUUGUGGCAUUACUUGUGUUCUGUAUAAAGUAUUGCACUUGUCCCGGCCUGUGGAAGAAAGGAGGGU